Dipodomys ordii (Ord's kangaroo rat) is the source of this 107-nucleotide small nuclear RNA. Lineage: Eukaryota; Metazoa; Chordata; Mammalia; Rodentia; Heteromyidae. The record is from Ensembl.
GUGCUCACUUCGGCAGCACAUAUACUAAAAUGGAAACAAUACAAAGAAGAUUAGCAUGGCUCCUGUGCAAGGAUCAUAUGCAAAUUUGUGAAAUUUUCCAUGUAUUU